UGUGUAGGCGGUCCUCUAAGUUUGGUGUGAAAUCUCCCGGCUCAACUGGGAGGGUGCGCCGAAAACUGGAGGGCUAGAGUGCGGGAUGGGAAAGUGGAAUUCCUGGUGUAGCGGUGAAAUGCGUAGAUAUCAGGAGGAACACCUGUGGUGUAGACGGCUUUCUGGACCGCAACUGACGCUGAGACACGAAAGCGUGGGUAGCAAACAGGAUUAGAUACCCUGGUAGUCCACGCCCUAAACGAUGCAUAUUUGGUGUGGGCCAUUCAUUUGGUCCGUGCCGGAGCUAACGCGUUAAAUAUGCCGCCGUGGGGAGUACGGUCGCAAGGCUGAA
This 331-nucleotide ribosomal RNA is filed under the name uncultured bacterium. RNAcentral describes it as "bacterial SSU rRNA". It matches the Rfam family "Bacterial small subunit ribosomal RNA", at positions 568 to 898 of the family's 1533-position model. The record is from RNAcentral.